GACGAACGCUGGCGGCGUGCUUAACACAUGCAAGUCGAACGGAAAGGCCCUGCUUUUGUGGGGUGCUCGAGUGGCGAACGGGUGAGUAACACGUGAGUAACCUGCCCUUGACUUUGGGAUAACUUCAGGAAACUGGGGCUAAUACCGGAUAGGAGCUCCUGCUGCAUGGUGGGGGUUGGAAAGUUUCGGCGGUUGGGGAUGGACUCGCGGCUUAUCAGCUUGUUGGUGGGGUAGUGGCUUACCAAGGCUUUGACGGGUAGCCGGCCUGAGAGGGUGACCGGCCACAUUGGGACUGAGAUACGGCGCAGAAUCCUACGGGAGGCAGCAGUGGGGAAUAUUGCACAAUGGGCGGAAGCCUGAUGCAGCAACGCCGCGUGCGGGAUGACGGCCUUCGGGUUGUAACCCGCUUUCGCCUGUGACGAAGCGUGCGUGACGGUAAUGGGUAAAGAAGCACCGGCUAACUACGUG
Molecule: ribosomal RNA, 468 nt
Filed under: uncultured bacterium
Lineage: Bacteria
Description: partial 16S ribosomal RNA
Rfam family: Bacterial small subunit ribosomal RNA
Source: RNAcentral